CUGCCCCUCUGCCCCCGUUGCCUCGCCGCUAGGCCGCCCCCGGCGCCCGUGCCGGCACGUCGCCCGACUAGCCCCAAAGCGUGGCCACCCCCUUCGGUGAAUAGUUAGUUUUUUUCUAUUUUUUUCAUCUUAUUAGAUUAGUUAGAUAGCUACUGCUAAUUCGGUUAGUUAGGAAAAAGGAAAUUAGAAGAAGAAGAAAAAAAUAAGAAGGAAA
RNAcentral lists this long non-coding RNA (214 nucleotides) under Hordeum vulgare. Its description in RNAcentral is "long non-coding RNA (HVUL_LNC006751)". Lineage: Eukaryota; Viridiplantae; Streptophyta; Magnoliopsida; Poales; Poaceae. The record is from RNAcentral.